Long non-coding RNA from Salvia splendens (bonfire salvia), 1012 nucleotides. RefSeq lists it as uncharacterized. NCBI's taxonomy places the organism in Eukaryota, Viridiplantae, Streptophyta, Magnoliopsida, Lamiales, Lamiaceae. The record is from RefSeq and is a predicted model, not a curated record. The transcript has 3 exons.
AAAGUAGAGGAAAUACUUUUAUUAGAGAAACAUGGUUACACCUUGAGGAAAUAGAAAUUCAAAAUAUAGAGAUACAAGUAGUACAUGCUUACAUAAGUAAAGAUUCUCUACAAGCACCAUCUUAGAAAAAGAAAUAUACACAAAAGCUACUCUUUUACAAAGAUACAAGGUGUUGACUUGGCUUUUAGCUACUUUGAGAAAAUAGCCAAUAAAGAUGACAUGAUCAAAAUCUCCCUCUCCCUCCUUCUCGAUCUUGGACAGCCACAAGGCUCCAAAAUGACACCAAGGAAACCUGCGAGUUUACACAAAAGAGGUUAGCAUGAAAACUCAUAAGUAAAGGGAAGUGGGAAGCAAGCCCAAAUAAGAAAGAUAAGGGAGUAGGCUGAAUGAGAUGGCCAGAGAGCUGCCAACUAAGGCUGUAAGAUGCAGCCAAACUGUUCCAUUCCCACUUUCAUUAUCUGAGAAUCAAAACCAAACUGCCACAGGUAGGAAGGCUCAACCACAAGCUCAAAAUAGAAGAGUAGAGUUCUCAUUUAUCGAAGCUCGAGGAGCCAGCCAAGAGAGGGAAUCUAUUUCCCCAGAAUUUCACCAAAUAGGCAACAACAAUUGGAUUAACACAUAGUAGAGAUAAGCUGACAGCCCCAAAAUAGGAGGCUUUGCCCCCAAGUCUCAAACACAAGAGGCCAAUGUCGAUGCCUACAUAAGCUGCCCCCCAUCCCUUUUUCCUCCACCACUUUGACACCCCAAAAUUUCACAAACAUAAGAAAUCUAGCGAGGAGAGGCAGUAGCAAGAGGCAAGGGUGUGGCAGCCAAGGAACCAAGGAUUCACCAAGUGAGGCGUAGGCAGCAACGAUGCAAAUGGAUGAUGCAGUUUCGUUGACUGGUCCACUCUGCUGAGGGAAACCAUGCCCGGAUGAGAUCAAAUAUGGAUGAAAAUCAGAGUGCAUCAAGCUUAGCUGCAGGGCCUCAUCUUAGCCUAGGCUUCAUUGAAUCACAGAAGAUGUGGAAUAAG